Molecule: ribosomal RNA, 588 nt
Filed under: uncultured bacterium
Lineage: Bacteria
Description: bacterial SSU rRNA
Rfam family: Bacterial small subunit ribosomal RNA
Source: RNAcentral
GAUUAGCCUGCGUCCGAUUAGCUAGUUGGUAGGGUAAAGGCCUACCAAGGCUUCGAUCGGUAGGUGAUUCGAGAGGAUGAUCACCCACAAUGGAACUGAGACACGGUCCAUACUCCUACGGGAGGCAGCAGUGGGGAAUUUUACGCAAUGGGCGAAAGCCUGACGUAGCGACACCGCGUGAAUGAAGAAGCCUUUUGGGGUGUAAAGUUCUGUCGGCUGGGACGAAAAAAAUGACGGUACCAGCAAAGGAAGCAUCGGCUAACUACGUGCCAGCAGCCGCGGUAAGACGUAGGAUGCAAGCGUUGUCCGGAUUUAUUGGGCGUAAAGAGUUCGUAGGCGGUUUGUUAAGUCUGAUGUUAAAAAUCGGGGCUCAACCCCGGGACUGCAUUGGAUACUGGCAGACUGGAGUGCGGUAGAGGUAAGUGGAAUUCCUGGUGUAGCGGUGAAAUGCGUAGAUAUCAGGAAGAACACCGGUGGCGUAGGCGACUUACUGGGCCGUAACUGACGCUGAGGAACGAAAGCCAGGGGAGCAAAUGGGAUUAGAUACCCCAGUAGUCCUGGCUGUAAACGAUGUCAACUAGCUGUUGG